AACGAACGCUGGCGGCAUGCCUAACACAUGCAAGUCGAACGAACCCUUCGGGGUUAGUGGCGCACGGGUGCGUAACACGUGGGAAUCUGCCCUUUGCUUCGGAAUAACAGUUAGAAAUGACUGCUAAUACCGGAUGAUGUCGUAAGACCAAAGAUUUAUCGGCAAAGGAUGAGCCCGCGUAGGAUUAGGUAGUUGGUGGGGUAAAAGGCCUACCAAGCCGACGAUCCUUAGCUGGUCUGAGAGGAUGAUCAGCCACACUGGGACUGAGACACGGCCCAGACUCCUACGGGAGGCAGCAGUGGGGAAUAUUGGACAAUGGGCAAAAGCCUGAUCCAGCAAUGCCGCGUGAGUGAUGAAGGCCUUCGGGUU
This 369-nucleotide ribosomal RNA is filed under the name uncultured bacterium. Its description in RNAcentral is "bacterial SSU rRNA". It matches the Rfam family "Bacterial small subunit ribosomal RNA", at positions 29 to 424 of the family's 1533-position model. The record is from RNAcentral.